Desulfotignum phosphitoxidans DSM 13687 is the source of this 77-nucleotide non-coding RNA. The record is from Rfam. NCBI's taxonomy places the organism in Bacteria, Pseudomonadati, Thermodesulfobacteriota, Desulfobacteria, Desulfobacterales, Desulfobacteraceae.
UUGAGCCGGAUGAGGUGAAAGUCUCAUGUCCGGUUCUUAGGGGGCUUGGGGCUGGCAACAGCCCCCGGCCACCCGAC